Molecule: long non-coding RNA, 1589 nt
Organism: Mustela lutreola (European mink)
Lineage: Eukaryota; Metazoa; Chordata; Mammalia; Carnivora; Mustelidae
Exons: 5
Source: RefSeq, a predicted model, not a curated record
CAGAUUUUUUGCACUGGGAAAAAGGACUGGAGUAGAGUCCCACCAGGGGCUGGCUAACUUUUUACUUUGCCAAGAAGCUCACUGACACAUAUUUUCCUUGGAGCAAUAGAAGCCUUUGCAAUAUGGAAAAAGUGACAUGUGAUCCGAAGGCGUCUGGAGGGGAGCUCUAACUGACCUUUGCAACCACCUACCCAGAGCCGAGACUGGCGAAGGGCGAGCGGAGCCUCCAGGAAUGAUGUCUGGUGCCCUCCACAGCUGCCUUACCAAGUCCUGCGUGCUGGCACCACCACCUUGGAGGAGGAAAGCCCUCCCCCAUUUCCUGCCCUGCUCCCACUCUUCCUCAGAACCUCAGAGGAAGGCCUAUGGAAGAAAGCUUACUAUUUGGGGGUUGCCCUGCUUGUCAUUAGGGACUUGAAACCUAUCACCCAGGAAGAAGCUCCAUGGAGCCACAGCCACAGAAUCCUGGCCACAGAAUCCCACCCUCAGAGCACCAAGGUCUGCCUUGUCGGAGGAUGCAUGUUAAAAAUAGAAGAAUGGCAAAGCAGCCCAAAGUCUUAAGCCAAGAGGUCAAGCCAUCACCAGCAGGUUUCAGAUGACUAAAAUGGCAGAAUCGUGUGAUAGGAGGAUUUCUCAAAGGCAUUGCCAUGAGGAGAGUCACCUACCUGUGGCCUUCACAUAUGUGAAGAAUCACAAGGUUCCACUAUAAGAUGGCCUCUGUUUAAAAAAGAAACUUUGAAAUCUGCAAAUAAAUGCCUAUCUACUGUUUCUGAUGCGCUUGUUCUAACACUCAUAGAAAGAAGUGUUCCCACAGACAACGGCUCAGGGGAAAGGGUGCCCACAGCUCAGGGGCCCAGGGCACUCCAGGAGCAUUUCAUCUUCCUCUCCCAUGCUUUUCACAGAAUUGUUUCAGUUGCUUCUACAGAAAAGGGAACAUCUUCGCAUCAUUGUAAGGUAUUGACAGACACACAGAAACAUUAACUCGAGCCUUGGUGCUGACCUGCUUUCAAAAGAAUUCCUACUUGAGAAUUGUGCAGGAGCAAAUUUUGUCUUUUCUCAGAACUGGAAAGGAGGCAAACAUUCAAGGAGAGAGAGAAGAGAAUACCAAAUGAUCGAUGGGUUGGGAAUGUGUGCAUCUUCAAGUCUCUUGUGUUGGUGGAGUUUAAGGCUCAACUGGGUUGAGUCUUCAGAGACAGAAAAGAGCAAAAUGUGUAUGAUUUUCUGAGCCCUCAGAAGGUAGGUAGUUGGGCUGACCUUAGAUGCCACAUUAAUUUCUGAAGAAUCUGGGGGCACAAUGAUGCAGUAUUUAAGACAAUGUAAGUGAAAAUGCUCUGUAUGUUGAAAAGUAAGAUGUAACUAUCAAGUUUUAUUCACCUACAGUCCCCCACUUCAGCAGCUGUUUUAUCUGACAUCAUGGGACUUAAUGUUAAGUCAAUGUUAACGAUGUGUUGCAAACUUAGGUGAUGUUUCCCUAAGACCUUUUGUUAACAUUCAGGCUUUUACUUCCCUCACCAAUUUUUUAUUCUGAAUAAUUUCUUACUGAACUUUAAAAGUCCAGUAGGACUAACACUCAUGGCUAACAUUUACAUUGU